This 429-nucleotide ribosomal RNA is filed under the name uncultured bacterium. RNAcentral's name for it is "bacterial SSU rRNA". It matches the Rfam family "Bacterial small subunit ribosomal RNA", at positions 355 to 775 of the family's 1533-position model. The record is from RNAcentral.
UGGGGAAUAUUGGGCGAUGGGCGAAAGCCUGACCCAGCGACGCCGCGUGGGUGAUGAAGGCCUUCGGGUUGUAAAGCCCUGUCAUGCGGAAAGAACGACCCUGUGACGCAUACUCACAGGGAGUGACGGUACCGCAGGAGGAAGCACCGGCUAACUCCGUGCCAGCAGCCGCGGUAAUACGGAGGGUGCAAGCGUUGUUCGGAAUUAUUGGGCGUAAAGGGCGCGUAGGCGGUAAUGUAAGUCAGAUGUGAAAGACUCCGGCUCAACCAGAGAACAGCAUCUGAAACUGCAUAACUAGAGUACAGAAGAGGGAAACGGAAUUCCCGGUGUAGAGGUGAAAUUCGUAGAUAUCGGGAGGAACACCAGUGGCGAAGGCGGUUUCCUGGUCUGAUACUGACGCUGAGGCGCGAAAGCGUGGGGAGCAAACAG